UGGGCACCCCCAGUCUUUCCAUCCUCCUCAUUCGUCUAGGGGCACCCGAAUCCCCUAUUCCUUAUUUCCCCUAUCACUCAGGCACUGGCAGGGUCCUUUGCCCACUCCUGUUGGCCGCUGCGGCUCCAAAGCGAGAUGUGCCUGAGACAGGUUUGACCAGGCAACUGAAAAGACAUCCCUAAGAGAAGACAAAGCAAAGGUAUGAAAGGAACACACGUCCCUGACUGACUAGGAGGAACAGAGCUGCCUGCUAUCUGGAACAACUUCCUCCCAGACUAAGUGAGAAAUAAACUUCUGUUUUCUAUAUGC
This 309-nucleotide long non-coding RNA is filed under the name Homo sapiens (human). Its description in RNAcentral is "non-protein coding FAM242E:6". The record is from RNAcentral. Lineage: Eukaryota; Metazoa; Chordata; Mammalia; Primates; Hominidae.